GAUCCUGGCUCAGGAUGAACGCUAGCGGCAGGCUUAACACAUGCAAGUCGAGGGGCAGCGCGGGAUAGCAAUAUCCUGGCGGCGACCGGCGGAAGGGUUCGUAACGCGUGAGCGACAUGCCCGUUGCCCGGGACAACCGGUGGAAACGCCGACUAAUCCCCGAUGGGAUACGAUGCCUCAUGGCAUUGUAUUGAAAGUUACGGCGGCGACGGAUUGGCUCGCGUCCGAUUAGCUUGUUGGCGGGG
This 245-nucleotide ribosomal RNA is filed under the name uncultured bacterium. RNAcentral describes it as "partial 16S ribosomal RNA". It matches the Rfam family "Bacterial small subunit ribosomal RNA", at positions 15 to 257 of the family's 1533-position model. The record is from RNAcentral.